AUAGUAUAGAUUCAUUUCAUUAAUCGAAGUUUUGCCUUAAUAUCUGAAUGAUGAGUUACACUUUAUACUUCUCGUCAUAAUGACCAGUUGAAAGUAUCUGAUUAUAUCACUUAAAUUCCAAUAUAUCAAUAUCGGAUUGAUACCGAUGUUUAAAAAUAUAUUAAUUGAACACAACAGUAAAGUAUAUAAGUUAAGUAUGCAGCCUUUAAAAAGAAAGUAUGUAUACAUAAACAUGCUCCCUAUUUCAUCUGCGUCGACUGGUUCCGUUCUCUGGAUUCCUUAGGUUUUACAUUAAUUGUUAAAUCUUAGCUAUGUUCCUAGAGAAAUCUAUAGAUAUUCUAUCCAAAAGUAGUCAUUUCAUUAAAUUUUAUUUCAUCAUCAUCCUUUUCUUUAUGUGUAAAGUAAACUAGAGGCUCUCAAGAGCCUAUGCCGCUCACCUGAAAUACUUGGGUUUUCGAAAUCAUAUAAAAAAAAGAUAAAAAUCAUAACAGAUACUUAAAUAAUUAUGGAUCGGCUACAAAGUAACAACACUUAGUCAAUGCCUCGUAAGGAACAUUCAUACUAUGUUUGGUUUCAUUCCAUUCAAUGGUUCUCUUAAAGAAGACAUUUGUAUGUAUUUCCCGUAUGGUCCUAUGUUAAACUAAGUCCCCCGCUGGCGGCAAUCAUGGAUGAUGGAUCGGCUACAAAGUAACAACACUUGGUCAGCAUCUUGUAAGAAACAUUCAUGUUAUAUUUGGUUUAAUUCCAUUCAGUGGUUCUCUAAAAGAAGUUCAAAAUGUAAAAAGUUAACGACAACGACGACGACGACGACGACAACGGACGCCAAGUGAUGAGAAAAGCUCACUUGGUCCUUCAGGCCAGGUGAGCUAAAAAAUGACAUAAAUAUGUACACUUCUACGCAAAAUAUUGACUGGUUAAGCAGUCUCGAAUACUUGUGAAUCGGGAGAUUUAGACAAAAUUUAAACAGAAUUACACUCCAGGAUCUGAUUACAAUUCAGAGGUUUGGCUAGCCAUAAAGCUAGGUUCAACCAACCAUUUCUUCUUUAAAGUUCUUAUACCAAUUUGGGAAUAUUGCAGUUGUUUUCAGAUGAAAUUGAGAAUGGAAAUUAGGAUGAUGUCAAAGAGACAAUAACCCGACCAAAAAGCAGAUAACAAAUAGUCUAUAUAUAAUGGCGUUUUGUCUUGUUGACUGAGAGUCAACCAGCAGAGGUAACGCCCCAAAUAUGCAAAUCCUGGAAUGUUGUCCCAUAAGUAUCAUUAGCUCAGUAGCCAUGGCUUCGGUACUAACAUGUUUUAUAACGUUUCUUUUUUC
This 1312-nucleotide long non-coding RNA is filed under the name Mytilus galloprovincialis (Mediterranean mussel). The record is from RNAcentral. Lineage: Eukaryota; Metazoa; Mollusca; Bivalvia; Mytilida; Mytilidae.